GGCGAACGGGUGAGUAACACGUGGGCAACCUGCCCAAAAGAGGGGGAUAACACUUGGAAACAGGUGCUAAUACCGCAUAACCAUAGUUACCGCAUGGUAACUAUGUAAAAGGUGGCUAUGCUACCGCUUUUGGAUGGGCCCGCGGCGCAUUAACUAGUUGGUGAGGUAAAGGCUUACCAAGGCAAUGAUGCGUAGCCGAACUGAGAGGUUGAUCGGCCACAUUGGGACUGAGACACGGCCCAAACUCCUACGGGAGGCAGCAGUAGGGAAUCUUCCACAAUGGGCGAAAGCCUGAUGGAGCAACGCCGCGUGGGUGAAGAAGGUCUUCGGAUCGUAAAACCCUGUUGUUAGAAAAGAAAGUGCGUGAGAGUAACUGUUCACGUUUCGACGGUAUCUAACCAGAAAGCCACGGCUAACUACGUGCCAGCAGCCGCGGUAAUACGUAGGUGGCAAGCGUUAUCCGGAUUUAUUGGGCGUAAAGGGAACGCAGGCGGUCUUUUAAGUCUGAUGUGAAAGCCUUCGGCUUAACCGGAGUAGUGCAUUGGAAACUGGGAGACUUGAGUGCAGAAGAGGAGAGUGGAACUCCAUGUGUAGCGGUGAAAUGCGUAGAUAUAUGGAAGAACACCAGUGGCGAAAGCGGCUCUCUGGUCUGUAACUGACGCUGAUGUUCGAAAGCGUGGGUAGCAAACAGGAUUAGAUACCCUGGUAGUCCACGCCGUAAACGAUGAAUGCUAAGUGUUGGAGGGUUUCCGCCCUUCAGUGCUGCAGCUAACGCAAUAAGCAUUCCGCCUGGGGAGUACGACCGCAAGGUUGAAACUCAAAGGAAUUGACGGGGGCCCGCACAAGCGGUGGAGCAUGUGGUUUAAUUCGAAGCAACGCGAAGAACCCUACCAGGUCUUGACAUAUUUUGACAAUCCUAGAGAUAGGACUUUCCCUUCGGGGACAGAAUGACAGGUGGUGCAUGGUUGUCGUCAGCUCGUGUCUUGAGAUGUUGGGUUAAGUCCCGCAACGAGCGCAACCCC
RNAcentral lists this ribosomal RNA (1022 nucleotides) under Enterococcus sp. C4I15. Its description in RNAcentral is "bacterial SSU rRNA". It matches the Rfam family "Bacterial small subunit ribosomal RNA", at positions 97 to 1105 of the family's 1533-position model. Lineage: Bacteria; Bacillati; Bacillota; Bacilli; Lactobacillales; Enterococcaceae. The record is from RNAcentral.